GCAGGAGAAUCGCUUGAACCCGGGAGGCAGAGGUUGCAGUCAGCCAAGAUCACGCCACUGCACUCCAACCUGGGCAACAGAGCAAGACUCCAUCUAAACAA
Sapajus apella (tufted capuchin) is the source of this 101-nucleotide long non-coding RNA. RefSeq lists it as uncharacterized. The transcript has 3 exons. The record is from RefSeq and is a predicted model, not a curated record. Lineage: Eukaryota; Metazoa; Chordata; Mammalia; Primates; Cebidae.